This 1343-nucleotide ribosomal RNA is filed under the name uncultured bacterium. RNAcentral's name for it is "16S ribosomal RNA". It matches the Rfam family "Bacterial small subunit ribosomal RNA", at positions 28 to 1378 of the family's 1533-position model. The record is from RNAcentral.
GACGAACGCUGGCGGCGUGUUUAACACAUGCAAGUCGAACGGAAAGGCCCUGCUUUUGUGGGGUGCUCGAGUGGCGAACGGGUGAGUAACACGUGAGUAACCUGCCCUUGACUUUGGGAUAACUUCAGGAAACUGGGGCUAAUACCGGAUAGGAGCUCCUGCUGCAUGGUGGGGGUUGGAAAGUUUCGGCGGUUGGGGAUGGACUCGCGGCUUAUCAGCUUGUUGGUGGGGUAGUGGCUUACCAAGGCUUUGACGGGUAGCCGGCCUGAGAGGGUGACUGGCCACAUUGGGACUGAGAUACGGCCCAGACUCCUACGGGAGGCAGCAGUGGGGAAUAUUGCACAAUGGGCGGAAGCCUGAUGCAGCAACGCCGCGUGCGGGAUGACGGCCUUCGGGUUGUAAACCGCUUUCGCCUGUGACGAAGCGUGAGUGACGGUAAUGGGUAAAGAAGCACCGGCUAACUACGUGCCAGCAGCCGCGGUGAUACGUAGGGUGCGAGCGUUGUCCGGAUUUAUUGGGCGUAAAGGGCUCGUAGGUGGUUGAUCGCGUCGGAAGUGUAAUCUUGGGGCUUAACCCUGAGCGUGCUUUCGAUACGGGUUGACUUGAGGAAGGUAGGGGAGAAUGGAAUUCCUGGUGGAGCGGUGGAAUGCGCAGAUAUCAGGAGGAACACCAGUGGCGAAGGCGGUUCUCUGGGCCUUUCCUGACGCUGAGGAGCGAAAGCGUGGGGAGCGAACAGGCUUAGAUACCCUGGUAGUCCACGCUGUAAACGGUGGGUACUAGGUGUGGGGUCCAUUCCACGGGUUCCGUGCCGUAGCUAACGCUUUAAGUACCCCGCCUGGGGAGUACGGCCGCAAGGCUAAAACUCAAAGGAAUUGACGGGGCCCCGCACAAGCGGCGGAGCAUGCGGAUUAAUUCGAUGCAACGCGUAGAACCUUACCUGGGUUUGACAUGGAUCGGGAGUGCUCAGAGAUGGGUGUGCCUCUUUUGGGGUCGGUUCACAGGUGGUGCAUGGCUGUCGUCAGCUCGUGUCGUGAGAUGUUGGGUUAAGUCCCGCAACGAGCGCAACCCUUGUUCACUGUUGCCAGCACGUUAUGGUGGGGACUCAGUGGAGACCGCCGGGGUCAACUCGGAGGAAGGUGGGGAUGACGUCAAGUCAUCAUGCCCCUUAUGUCCAGGGCUUCACGCAUGCUACAAUGGCUGGUACAGAGAGUGGCGAGCCUGUGAGGGUGAGCGAAUCUCGGAAAGCCGGUCUCAGUUCGGAUUGGGGUCUGCAACUCGACCUCAUGAAGUCGGAGUCGCUAGUAAUCGCAGAUCAGCAACGCUGCGGUGAAUACGUUCCCGGG